UGUGGAUAAUUGGAAAAAGAUGUGAAAUCGGUCAAUGGUCGGUUUCAAAUUUCAGUUUCUUCUCCUUCUCUCAAGAAGUCGCGCGACUGAGCUGGCAUAGAGGAAAGAGCUUCUUUCCUUUUUCGCAAAACCCAUGAAUAC
This is a non-coding RNA of Caenorhabditis elegans, 141 nucleotides long. The record is from Ensembl. Lineage: Eukaryota; Metazoa; Nematoda; Chromadorea; Rhabditida; Rhabditidae.